UACGAAGGGGGCUAGCGUUGCUCGGAAUCACUGGGCGUAAAGGGCGCGUAGGCGGCUUUGUAAGUCGGGGGUGAAAGCCUGUGGCUCAACCACAGAAUUGCCUUCGAUACUGCAUGGCUUGAGACCGGAAGAGGUAAGUGGAACUGCGAGUGUAGAGGUGAAAUUCGUAGAUAUUCGCAAGAACACCAGUGGCGAAGGCGGCUUACUGGUCCGGAUCUGACGCUGAGGCGCGAAAGCGUGGGGAGCAAACAGG
This 253-nucleotide ribosomal RNA is filed under the name uncultured bacterium. Its description in RNAcentral is "partial 16S ribosomal RNA". It matches the Rfam family "Bacterial small subunit ribosomal RNA", at positions 524 to 776 of the family's 1533-position model. The record is from RNAcentral.